UCUUGGUCAUUUAGAGGAAGUAAAAGUCAUAACAAGGUUUCCGUAGGCGAACCUGCGGAAGGAUCAUUAAUAGUGCCCUCUGAUGCAAAUCAUUGGGUUAGAUCUGCUCUCUUCGCAAGAAGAGGGUUUCCAUACACACCGUGAACUGUGGCUUCGGCCAUCACAAACUGUUAGUAAUGAAUGUAAUAUCAUAACAAAAACAAAACUUUUAACAACGGAUCUCUUGGCUCUCGCAUCGAUGAAGAACGCAGCGAAAUGCGAUAAGUAAUGUGAAUUGCAGAAUUCAGUGAAUCAUCGAAUCUUUGAACGCACCUUGCGCCCUUUGGUAUUCCGAAGGGCAUGCCUGUUUGAGUGUCAUGAAACCUCACCCCACUUGGGUUUUUGCCUGAGCGGUGGUGUAUUGGGUGUUGCCUUGCUAAAGGCUCGCCUUAAAGACAUAAGCACCUUGGAUGUAAUACGUUUCAUCCUUCUGGGUGGCUGAUAACCCCACAUAUUCAUGAUCUGGCCUCAAAUCAGGUAGGGCUACCCGCUGAACUUAAGCAUAUCAAUAAGCGGAGGAAAUGUCUCCG
RNAcentral lists this ribosomal RNA (569 nucleotides) under Cryptococcus sp. LK-2016. RNAcentral's name for it is "eukaryotic LSU rRNA". The stretch from base 204 to 357 matches the Rfam family "5.8S ribosomal RNA". The record is from RNAcentral. Lineage: Eukaryota; Fungi; Basidiomycota; Tremellomycetes; Tremellales; Cryptococcaceae.